UACGGAGGGGGCAAGCGUUAUUCGGAAUUACUGGGCGUAAAGGGCGCGUAGGCGGCUUUGCAAGUUGGGCGUGAAAGCCCUGGGCUUAACCCAGGAAUUGCGCUUGAGACUGCUAGGCUUGAGUGCGGGAGAGGUGAGUGGAAUUCCCAGUGUAGAGGUGAAAUUCGUAGAUAUUAGGAAGAACACCAGUGGCGAAGGCGGCUCACUGGCCCGGUACUGACGCUGAGGCGCGAAAGCGUGGGGAGCAAACAGG
This 253-nucleotide ribosomal RNA is filed under the name uncultured bacterium. RNAcentral's name for it is "partial 16S ribosomal RNA". It matches the Rfam family "Bacterial small subunit ribosomal RNA", at positions 524 to 776 of the family's 1533-position model. The record is from RNAcentral.